This 241-nucleotide ribosomal RNA is filed under the name Bacteroidales bacterium. RNAcentral describes it as "partial 16S ribosomal RNA". It matches the Rfam family "Bacterial small subunit ribosomal RNA", at positions 1 to 249 of the family's 1533-position model. Lineage: Bacteria; Pseudomonadati; Bacteroidota; Bacteroidia; Bacteroidales. The record is from RNAcentral.
ACAACGAAGAGUUUGAUCCUGGCUCAGGAUGAACACUAGCGACAGGCCUAACACAUGCAAGUCGAGCGGCAGCACCUCGGGUGGCGAGCGGCGCACGGGUGAGUAACGCUUAUGUAACCUGCCCUUAAGUGGGGGAUAGCCCGGUGAAAACCGGAUUAAUACCGCAUAAUACGGGUUGAGAGCAUUUUCAACUUGUUAAAGAUUUAUUGCUUAAGGAUGGACAUGCGUCCGAUUAGCUUGU